ACGACUCUCGGCAACGGAUAUCUUGGCUCACGCAUCGAUGAAGAACGUAGCAAAAUGCGAUACUUGGUGUGAAUUGCAGAAUCCCGUGAACCAUCGAGUUUUUGAACGCAAGUUGCGCCCAAGCCAUCUGGUUGAGGGCACGCCUGCCUGGGCGUCAUGCAUC
Molecule: ribosomal RNA, 163 nt
Filed under: Youngia cineripappa
Lineage: Eukaryota; Viridiplantae; Streptophyta; Magnoliopsida; Asterales; Asteraceae
Description: 5.8S ribosomal RNA
Rfam family: 5.8S ribosomal RNA
About the family: 5.8S ribosomal RNA (5.8S rRNA) is a component of the large subunit of the eukaryotic ribosome. It is transcribed by RNA polymerase I as part of the 45S precursor that also contains 18S and 28S rRNA.
Source: RNAcentral